RNAcentral lists this ribosomal RNA (556 nucleotides) under uncultured Glomus. RNAcentral's name for it is "SSU rRNA". It matches the Rfam family "Eukaryotic small subunit ribosomal RNA", at positions 548 to 1103 of the family's 1831-position model. Lineage: Eukaryota; Fungi; Glomeromycota; Glomeromycetes; Glomerales; Glomeraceae. The record is from RNAcentral.
UUGGAGGGCAAGUCUGGUGCCAGCAGCCGCGGUAAUUCCAGCUCCAAUAGCGUAUAUUAAAGUUGUUGCAGUUAAAAAGCUCGUAGUUGAACUUCGGGGUUUACCCAUUGGUCAGGCUUAAUUGUCUGUACUGGUGAGAUAAGUCUCUACCUUCUGAGGAACUUUCAUGUCAUUAAUUUGGUGUGAUUGGAAAUCAGGACUGUUACUUUGAAAAAAUUAGAGUGUUUAAAGCAGGCUAACGUCUGAAUACAUUAGCAUGGAAUAAUGAAAUAGGACGGACUGAUUCUAUUUCGUUGGUUUCUAGGAUCACCGUAAUGAUUAAUAGGGAUAGUUGGGGGCAUUAGUAUUCAAUUGUCAGAGGUGAAAUUCUUGGAUUUAUUGAAGACUAACUACUGCGAAAGCAUUUGCCAAGGAUGUUUUCAUUAAUCAAGAACGAAAGUUAGGGGAUCGAAGACGAUCAGAUACCGUCGUAGUCUUAACCAUAAACUAUGCCGACUAGGGAUCGGACGAAGUUAAUUUUAUAAUGACGCGUUCGGCACCUUACGGGAAACCAAAG